GGGGAAUAUUGCGCAAUGGGCGAAAGCCUGACGCAGCGACGCCGCGUGAGGGAUAAAGGUUUUCGGAUCGUAAACCUCUGUCAGAAGGGAAGAAACUACGUUGUGCUAAUCAGCAGCGUACUGACGGUACCUUCAAAGGAAGCACCGGCUAACUCCGUGCCAGCAGCCGCGGUAAUACGGAGGGUGCAAGCGUUAAUCGGAAUUACUGGGCGUAAAGCGCACGUAGGCUGUAGUGUAAGUCAGGGGUGAAAUCCCACGGCUCAACCGUGGAACUGCCUUUGAUACUGCACAACUUGAAUCCGGGAGAGGGUGGCGGAAUUCCAGGUGUAGGAGUGAAAUCCGUAGAUAUCUGGAGGAACAUCAGUGGCGAAGGCGGCCAUCUGGCCUAAUACUGACGCUGAGGUACGAAAGCAUGGGGAGCAAAC
Molecule: ribosomal RNA, 425 nt
Filed under: uncultured bacterium
Lineage: Bacteria
Description: bacterial SSU rRNA
Rfam family: Bacterial small subunit ribosomal RNA
Source: RNAcentral